Malaclemys terrapin pileata is the source of this 660-nucleotide long non-coding RNA. RefSeq lists it as uncharacterized. The transcript is spliced from 3 exons. The record is from RefSeq and is a predicted model, not a curated record. Lineage: Eukaryota; Metazoa; Chordata; Testudines; Emydidae.
GAGAAAUUCACUUAAUCUCUGAGAGGACAGACGGCGUACAGCUGCUGAGUCAGUGCCGGGACUUUCUAACGCGCAAGAAGAGUUUCACCAGACAAGCUAAGGAAUGCAGCCAGCCUGAAAAGAAAUCACUCUCCCUACUCUGGCUUACAGGCUCCUGGUAGAACACCGGCUGAUAAGAAGCUAUGGUACAAUGGUUCUCAAUCAAUGUUAAAUGUCAUCAUUCUUCAAGGGCACCUAAGGGUGGAGUGUAUCAUCACGAAUAUCUGAUCCUAUCUACAAACCAUGGUGUGCAAUGAUGGCAGUCUGUCUAGAGAAAGAGAGGAUUGGAAUCUAUCUGCCUACCUACCUAGUCAUAUGGCUCCUAGCAUCAGAGAAUCUGAACACCACCCUAGAACUAAAAUGUAUCUCUCUCACUUUCUUUCCAGCUUUAUAGUGUGUUUUGUUUGGAGGGGAAGGGGACGAGGGCUUAUGUUUGUGUGUACAGUUCACUAUGGAAAAGCUAAGGAUGUGACCAGCGAAUGGAGUAUAUAUUCAGCAGCCCAGAAGUCAGACGCAGUCUUUUCAGCAGCAGAACAGUGUUCAUACGAACAUAAGGACGGCUAUACUGAGUCAGAUCAAUGGUCCUGCUAGCCCAGCACCCUCUCUUCCGACAGUAGCCAA